Molecule: ribosomal RNA, 511 nt
Filed under: uncultured bacterium
Lineage: Bacteria
Description: bacterial SSU rRNA
Rfam family: Bacterial small subunit ribosomal RNA
Source: RNAcentral
CAUGGUUGUGUGUGGAAGUUUUUCGGCCAGGGAUGUGCUCGCGGCCUAUCAGCUUGAUGGUGAGGUAAUGGCUCACCAUGGCUUCGACGGGUAGCCGGCCUGAGAGGGUGACCGGUCACACUGGGACUGAGACACGGCCCAGACUCCUACGGGAGGCAGCAGUGGGGAAUAUUGGACAAUGGGCGGAAGCCUGAUCCAGCAACGCCGCGUGGGGGAUGACGGCCUUCGGGUUGUAAACCUCUUUCGCCUAGGACGAAGCGCAAGUGACGGUACUAGGUAAAGAAGCACCGGCCAACUACGUGCCAGCAGCCGCGGUAAUACGUAGGGUGCGAGCGUUGUCCGGAAUUAUUGGGCGUAAAGGGCUCGUAGGCGGUUUGUCGCGUCGGGAGUGAAAACCACAUGCUUAACAUGUGGCUUGCUUUCGAUACGGGCAGACUAGAGGUAUGCAGGGGAGAACGGAAUUCCUGGUGUAGCGGUGAAAUGCGCAGAUAUCAGGAGGAACACCGGUGGC